RNAcentral lists this ribosomal RNA (372 nucleotides) under uncultured bacterium. RNAcentral's name for it is "bacterial SSU rRNA". It matches the Rfam family "Bacterial small subunit ribosomal RNA", at positions 525 to 897 of the family's 1533-position model. The record is from RNAcentral.
ACGUAGGGGGCAAGCGUUGUCCGGAUUUACUGGGUGUAAAGGGCGCGUAGGCUGAUUUGUAAGUCAGUGGUGAAAUACUGCAGCUUAACUGCAGAACUGCCAUUGAUACUGCAAAUCUUGAGUUCAGAAGAGAGAAGCGGAAUUCCAGGUGUAGUGGUGAAAUACGUAGAUAUCUGGAAGAACACCAGUGGCGAAGGCGGCUUCUUGGUCUGUAACUGACGCUGAGGCGCGAAAGCGUGGGGAUCAAACAGGAUUAGAUACCCUGGUAGUCCACGCUGUAAACGAUGAAUACUAGGUGUUGGAUACAUUAGUAUCCAGUGCCGCAGCGAACGCAUUAAGUAUUCCACCGGGGGAGUACGAUCGCAAGGUUGA